UACGAAGGGGGCUAGCGUUGCUCGGAAUUACUGGGCGUAAAGCGUGCGCAGGCGGUUUUGUAAGACUGUCGUGAAAUCCCCGGGCUUAACCUGGGAAUGGCGAUGGUGACUGCAAGGCUAGAGUUUGGCAGAGGGGGGUAGAAUUCCACGUGUAGCAGUGAAAUGCGUAGAUAUGUGGAGGAACACCGAUGGCGAAGGCAGCCCCCUGGGUCAAAACUGACGCUCAUGCACGAAAGCGUGGGGAGCAAACAGG
This 253-nucleotide ribosomal RNA is filed under the name uncultured bacterium. RNAcentral's name for it is "partial 16S ribosomal RNA". It matches the Rfam family "Bacterial small subunit ribosomal RNA", at positions 524 to 776 of the family's 1533-position model. The record is from RNAcentral.